RNAcentral lists this ribosomal RNA (490 nucleotides) under uncultured bacterium. RNAcentral describes it as "partial 16S ribosomal RNA". It matches the Rfam family "Bacterial small subunit ribosomal RNA", at positions 355 to 838 of the family's 1533-position model. The record is from RNAcentral.
UAGGGAAUCUUCCACAAUGGACGCAAGUCUGAUGGAGCAACGCCGCGUGAGUGAAGAAGGCUUUCGGGUCGUAAAACUCUGUUGUUGGAGAAGAAUGGUCGGCAGAGUAACUGUUGUCGGCGUGACGGUAUCCAACCAGAAAGCCACGGCUAACUACGUGCCAGCAGCCGCGGUAAUACGUAGGUGGUAAGCGUUAUCCGGAUUUAUUGGGCGUAAAGCGAGCGCAGGCGGUUUUUUAAGUCUGAUGUGAAAGCCCUCGGCUUAACCGAGGAAGCGCAUCGGAAACUGGGAAACUUGAGUGCAGAAGAGGACAGUGGAACUCCAUGUGUAGCGGUGAAAUGCGUAGAUAUAUGGAAGAACACCAGUGGCGAAGGCGGCUGUCUGGUCUGUAACUGACGCUGAGGCUCGAAAGCAUGGGUAGCGAACAGGAUUAGAUACCCUGGUAGUCCAUGCCGUAAACGAUGAAUGCUAGGUGUUGGAGGGUUUUCCG